UUCAUCAUAGUGAACCGUUUCAGAGCUCCUACCCACAGACCCAAGUCAAAUGCUGAGGCGCGUAACAGUGGAAGUUCGCAGGUAUGAGCGCGCGUUUCGGUCUUCGCUCUGAGCUUUGAAAUACUUCUCGACUUCAACGCGCUAUGCCUUCCGAAGUUUUGUUUGGAGACGGGGAAGGACAGCAGGAUGGAGAACAAGGCGACUGACGUCUGUAUGGACUGAAGACAAGAGCGCGCUAUGGAGAUGACCGCUCGCCUCGCGCACUUGGACACCAAGGUGGAUGGCAGAAACUGUGAUGGACUUGUCAACCAUAACGGGGAAACGACUGAGAUAAGAGUACCGCUGUCUCACACGGGGAAGAGACUCGGUCCGAUCGAGGGGGGGAAUCUUUACAGACUGCGUGACAGAAAGUUCCUUCUGGAGGACAAGAAGCGCCUCUGCGCGUGGGCACUGGGAGCCGCGCUGUUAGGCAUUCUGCUGAUGGUAUUACAUGCUGAGCUGUGCCCACUAGUGUAUCAACCAGAAUCCAUUUAUGCCCUCUCCAUAAAUGGUCUCAUCAGUUUCUCCACGGGUUGUUUGCUCAUUCUCAUCAUCGCCUUCCAUUAUAAAGACAUCAGACUUUUUAUCAUUGACCACAACCAGGUGGACUGGCGCAUUGCCAUGACGAGUAACCGGGUGCUUGGCAUCUCCCUGGAACUCGUUGUCUGUGCUAUCCAUCCCGUGGCAAUCUACCUGAGGCCAGAUAUGGGGGACAGACUGGCGGGGGAGCCAGAGCAAAAUUCCUCUACCCCCCUCUGCUUGUCCUCGAGUCACAAAGAAGUCAUGCUGGAUGUGGAGCUGCUGCUGUCGGCCCUCAUGUUCCUGAGACUGUAUCUCGUGCACAGAGCCGUCCUGCUACACAGCAAGGUGCUCCUCAGCGCCUCGUACAGGAGCAUCGGCUCCCUCAACAACAUCAACUUCAGCUUCCGCUUUGUGCUCAAGGUGCUAAUGAACAAGUAUCCGGCCCGCACGCUGCUGGUCUUCAUUAUGUUCUUCUGGCUCUCCGCAGCUUGGAUGCUGCGACUGUGUGAAAGGCAGCAACAGGUAGAGACAGGUGGCAUGGACACAGCAUUGUGGCUGAUAGCCAUCACCUUCCUCACAGUGGGAUAUGGAGAUGUGUACCCUCACACCAGCUGUGGCAAGUUGGUGUGUCUCUUCACAGGUGUCAUGGGUGUGGCAUGUACUGCUAUGUUGGUAGCAGUCAUGACUAAGAAACUGGCGCUUAACAAAGGGGAGAAACAUGUGCAUUUCUUCAUGAUGGACAUUCAGAUCUCCAAGCGGAUGGAGAGCAUACAUAAAAUUGAUGAGAUGAUGGAGAUUGCCAGGAGCUGGGGACAGGUGAGUAUAGAAGGUUUGGAGUGAAAAGAUUGAGGGAGACACUAGAAGACACGAAGGAGACAAAACAAAUCUCUGAAUGAGGUAAGUAGAAGAUCCCGGGUAAGACGAACAUACAUUUUGAGUCCUUAAUCCACAAUGGAGACCAAACAAUGAGGCAGUAAGGAGUGUGUGCUUUUAUAGCGCUGGCUGAGUGAUGAGAUCAUCUGUGACAGACUGAUUAGAAUUCUGGUGAUUGAGUGCGCUAUCUGAUGGGUGAGCCUGGUUUGGCCAUGACGAACCCCCCUCUCUACGGCCUGCUCCUGAGGGCCUCAAUGUCAUGGUGGAUGACCUCGAAUAUGUGAUGCAUGGAACUCAGCUUUAAGAUUGGGGUCUAAGAUGUCAUGCCUGGGGACCCAAGAUCUAUCCUCUGGAACAUUGUUUUCCCAAUCAACAAGGUAUUCCAGCCAACAACUACAGCACCGGGAGUUCAAGAUCUCCUUGACUGCACAAACCAUUCCAUCCUCUAGUACAGGGGUGGCAGUCCUGACGACUUUUGCUUCAAGCCUAAUCAAACAGACCUGGACAAGCUAAUCAAGGCCUGAAAGGUUGAAGUCUGCUGGACUGUGGCUCUCCAGGACCGGAGUAGCUAUCCUGGCUCUAGUACUAUUGGAAGAGGGGGAUCAACCACGGGACCAGGCUCUGUGGGAACAGGAGAAACAGGUGAGUGGUAAACUUUUAAGAGUUAAACAUGGAAAAUGGGGGGAAUUCUGUAGUGUGGAGGUAAUUUUAACUAAUAAGUGACCAGGUUGAUUUGGCGAAUGACCAGGAAGGAACCUGGGACUCAGCUUCUUGCAGGGGAGUUAUACUGGACAUUCUGGCCUGGUUGGAAAAUGGCUGUCUGGACAGCAGCAUGGUGUAUCUGAUGAUGAACAGCCCUCUGCCAAAGUCGGUGAGCUGAGUCCCAGAGCCUCACGGUCUCCUGGAACCAGUGGGUCACAGAUGUCAGAACAGAAUAUUCCCAAGACCAGAGGAACAGUGGUGGCUGGUAAUCUAGUAUGCACUGGAGUGAGGCGAGACCCGUGGCUGGUUGAUGGAGGGAGUUUUGUGCGUAUUUGCCCAUGCAAAGUAACAAUUCCAGGAGUUCUGGUAGCUAUGGCAGAAGGUAUGGAGAAAAUGGCCUGUCUCAUGGAUUUUCUUUUCCUUCUGGCCAUUGCUUUGAGGGUGAUAACCAGAAGAAAGACUGACUAUGUCCUCUAGAAUGCUGUAGUUGUGGAAGACAUGAUUGAACAGCUGUUUCCAUUACUGUUGGUAGGCCCUUGAGAGGAACCAGUUGACAGGCUUUAGAGAAUCUGUCUACCACAACCACAAUGUAGGUGAACCCCUCUGAGGCAAAUCCAUCACAAAAUCCACUCCUAGAUUUAACCAGGGACACUGAGAAAUGGGAAGUGGAUUGGUAAGAGGAGAGGUGAUGGCACUAUAGUUAUUGGUGAAACGGCAAUACAAGUUGGAGAAACCAAGAAAUCACUGGGGCUCUUUAAUAGUAGUUGGUCCAGCUUCCUCUCAUCCAUUCUGAUACCACUGGAACUGAUGUAAUAUCUGAAGAACUGGAUGGAGGAAAGAUGGAAGGUAUAUUUCUUAGAUUUGAGAUACAGUUUGUGUUCACAGAGCUUCUUGAGGACCUUAGUAAUGUACUGGCGAUGUUCAGUCUUGUUUCAGGAGUACACUAGAAUGUCAUCAAUACACACCAGGACGAACUGAUGGAGGUACUCCCGGAACACCUUGUUCAUGUAUUCCUGGAAUACUGGGUGGGCAUUGACUAGUCCAUAGGGCAUGACCAAGUUCUCAUAGUGGACUGUAGGGGUCACAAAGGCAGUGUUCUACUCAUCCCCCUCAUGUACCCGGAUGAGGUCCAACUUGGUGAAGAUUCAAGUUCUGCAAAGUUGUUCCAGGGUUGCAAGUAUGAGAGGAAGAGGGUAAUGGAAUUUAAUGGUUAUCUUGUUGAAUGUCUGGUAAUCUAUGCAAGGCUGCAAGCCUUUGUCCUUCCUGGAAACAAAUAAAAAGUUGAAAGCAGCAGGGGAAGUGGAAUGACAGAGAAAGCCUUGUUGCAAUGCCUCCUCAAUAUACUCUUCAAUGGCCUUCUGUUCAGGGAUGAAGAGAGGAUAUACCUUGCGUCUGGGCACUGGUUCACUGGGCAGGAUGUUAAUGGCACAGUCCCAUAGUCUAAGAGAUGGUAGUUGAGAGACUCGUUUCAGCCAGAAAACAUUGCUGACAUGGACAUGAGGGAAUAUCCACAGAUCACUUCUCUAUAGGGCUCUUGAUGGAGGUGAAGUUCCGAGGAAAAACUGAAGUCAGGGAGACUGGUCGAGGCAGAUUUGGGAAACACCUGGAGAAACAAUCCUCGCCAUACUUCAGGACUUCACUGGUGGAUUAUGAGAUGGAAGGUUCAUGUGAAAUGAGCCGGAGACACCCUAGAACGAUCCCAGUGGUAAAAUUCUCCAGAACCAAUAGGCAGAUGUCCUCAGUAUGUAGCUGACCAACCUGAAGUUGGAGUAAACCCAACAAGUAUCAAACUUUUCCCUGGCCAAAGUGACCACCAGUGAGCGGUGAGCUAAACCAUAUACGUGAGUGGAUGUAUAUUAAUGGCAGAAUAGGAAACAAAAAUAGGAACAUUCACCAUGGGUCUAGGAGGAGUAGUGGACUCUGGCCACAAUAUAAACACGUGUGGUCAAUCUGCAUGGACUCGGGGUAAGGUUCUGGAAAACUGGGAUACUCUGGCUGGUGAAAAAGAGGCAGUUUUUGGUACUGAUUAUCCUCCAUACAGUCCUUUGCUCUGUUGGUGACUCUGAUGGACAGUUGAAUAAAGUGCUCAAGCCCUGUGGUGCCAUCGUAAGCCCCAAGAUGCAGCCCCAGAGAGUUCUCCAAUCCUUGGCAGAAGGUGGUUAACAGCAAGCAUUCAUUACAUCUGCUAGAAGUGUGCUGGACUGGCCAUGGGACUGGCACUGUAGAUGGGUGCCAGAGAUGUCGCUGGUGAGAAAGCAGGUGCUGAUGGUGCAGUGGGAGUGGGAAUGGUUUUGCUGAGGACCUUGUGGAGAAAAGCCACCAGCUCCUGGAAGAGAUCCACAACUGCCAGGUUCAUGCUGUUAUAGCCUGGUCUUCUGUUAUGGAAUACCAGACUCUGAGAGAAGAUGGAAUGUUAACCCAACAAAUGUGUUUAUUAACAGUUUUGUAGCCAACCUUUUGGCAGGUGAGUCUUUGGUGAAGUAAUGAAAAUAAUGAUGUUUUCCUUGUUUAACCAGAGUUGGAGAACACACAAAGAAUUAAUGAGAUUAUGGAGAUUACCAGGAGCUGGGGACAGGUGAGUAUAGCAGGAUUCGAGUUAGGAGAUAGAGGGAGACACUGGAGAAGACAAGGGAGACAAAAAAAAUAUUGUAAGGAGGUACGUAUGAGAUCAUGGGUAAGCAGAGCAUACAUUUUGAGUCCUUGAUCCACAAGGAAGGCAAGAAAAUGAGGCUGUGAGGAGUGUGUGCUUUUAUAGCGCUGGCUGAGUGAUGAGAUGAUCCGUACUGUGACUGAUUAGAAUGCUGGUGAUUAUAAUCUGUAUAUGAUCUGUGGGAAGCUGACACAAAUACUUUUGGACAGUAGAAUAAAAAAAUCAAUUAAAAAAAUCUGAUUUUAAAUGAGUGUUAUUUUAAUUAUUAUAUAAUUUAUGUAUUUAAACAAUAUUUAAUUUAUUAUAAAACUAUGAAAUAUUAUUUAAUACAAUAUAUAUAUAUAUAUAUUUUUUUGUUUGUUUGUUUGUUUUUAAAUAAACAAUGUAUAUACAAAGUAAAUAUAAAUACAUAUAUUAUUUAAACUAUUAUUAGUUUUCAUUACGAUGGUGAACUUCAAACUGAAGUGAAUGUGGCCCAAUUUUGACGAAAAAAAGAAAAAUUAAGCCUUUAUAAAAGCACUUAUAGUCGUAAAGCUGGUACAAUUAUUUGUCUUUUUAGGGUUCAUUUUAGGGUUUAUGAUGUUGUGUUGUCAUGAGCAAGUUGUGAAGUGUUAAUGUUAAUACAUAUAGUAUUAAAUAGCAAUAAUAAAGUGAGUAUUUUAAUGUUUACAAAUUAGACUAAUUUACUUUUAUUCCGUUUGCCUCACUGUAGACCCGCUUUGGAAUAUUAUUAUUUAUUUUUUUGGACAAAUGGAAAUAGUUCAUGUGGUAAUCAACAUUAUACCACUGAUGGUGUUGAUUGAGUUUAACUUGAACUGAGCCUAGAAUAUUUAUUUCAUUCAUGAAGGUCUAAACCUAAUUGGCAAAAACCAUAUCCUGUCACAGGCUGUAUUGCUGAGUGUUUGUGUGUGUGUGUGUGUGUGUGUGUGUGCGUGUGUGUGUGUGCAUGCCACAGGUCCUACUCAACAGGUCCUACAAUGUUUUACCUUGAUGAUACAUUAAAGGAAGACAUCUGGACACAGUUAGGCACUCUAUUAAUAACCACAAACACACAAAAUUGCCAGAGAGCUUGUGACAUCACUAUGAGCAGGUCUUUAAUGGGAACCCAGACAAUAAUAAAAUCAAAGAGAGCAGAGAAAUGUGUGAUUAAAAGAAAAAAAAAAUCGUUGACUGUCUGUAACCCACAUAUAACUUUAUAAUGGCUAUUCUCAUCCUCAAAUCACCCUCAAAAUAACCAUUACUUGUCCUUCCGUUCCCGUCGUUCCAUUUUUGUUUUCAAGGCCGCACCCUAAUAAACUGCACCAGUUUCCUUACAUCCUGUCCAGAUUUUCUAGUAAUACUCUGUUAUGUAGUAAUUUGUCAUUUACACAUCACAAAUAAUAAUAUUAUAGUUACUGAGUGUAAUUAAACAGACAACAACUUGUACAGUAGUUUCAGACAAUAUUUGAUCAGCUGUCUUCUGAACAAUGCAAACAUGCAACUAUUUACUUAAGGAAUGGCCUGCAGACUGUCAAUAGACUAUCAUUGUAGAGCUAUGAUGGAUGGAUUACUUAUUACUGUAAUCAAAUUCUCUGUGACACAGAUCCGGCACGCAGCAGCCAAUGUACUAAGAGAAUGUUGGCUGCUGCAUCGCACCACCCAUACAAAGGACAACAGUGGAGAGCAUCGUCAUCACCAGAGAUGCUUGCUGGAGGCCAUCCGUGUAUUUCGUCACUUGCGAUUGAAGCAGAGA
This is an RNA transcript of Carassius gibelio (silver crucian carp), 6518 nucleotides long. It is a transcript of the gene named intermediate conductance calcium-activated potassium channel protein 4, with no coding region annotated. The record is from RefSeq and is a predicted model, not a curated record. Lineage: Eukaryota; Metazoa; Chordata; Actinopteri; Cypriniformes; Cyprinidae. The transcript has 7 exons.